AAUGGGAUAGCUGGGUCAAAUGGUGGUUUCAUACAGAGUUUUCCAAGGAAUCUCCAUACUGCUUGCCAGAUUGGUUGCACCAAUUGGCAGUCCCACCAGCAAU
Molecule: microRNA precursor, 103 nt
Filed under: Marmota monax (woodchuck)
Lineage: Eukaryota; Metazoa; Chordata; Mammalia; Rodentia; Sciuridae
Source: RNAcentral